CCUACGGGGGGCAGCAGUGGGGAAUAUUGCGCAAUGGGGGGAACCCUGACGCAGCGACGCCGCGUGAAGGAAGAAGGCCUUCGGGUUGUAAACUUCUUUGAUUGGGGAAGAAAAAUGACGGUACCCAAAGAACAAGCCACGGCUAACUACGUGCCAGCAGCCGCGGUAAUACGUAGGUGGCGAGCGUUAUCCGGAAUCACUGGGCGUAAAGGGUGCGUAGGCGGCCGAUUAAGCCAGGGGUGAAAGGCUACGGCUCAACCGUAGUAAGCCCUUGGAACUGAUUGGCUUGAGUGCAGGAGAGGAGAGUGGAAUUCCUAGUGUAGCGGUGAAAUGCGUAGAUAUUAGGAGGAACACCAGUGACGAAGGCGAUUCUCUGGACUGUAACUGACGCUGAGGCACGAAAGCGUGGGGAGCAAACAGGAUUAGAUACCCUAGUAGUC
This 440-nucleotide ribosomal RNA is filed under the name uncultured bacterium. RNAcentral describes it as "bacterial SSU rRNA". It matches the Rfam family "Bacterial small subunit ribosomal RNA", at positions 338 to 795 of the family's 1533-position model. The record is from RNAcentral.